Molecule: ribosomal RNA, 467 nt
Filed under: uncultured bacterium
Lineage: Bacteria
Description: SSU rRNA
Rfam family: Bacterial small subunit ribosomal RNA
Source: RNAcentral
AGGAUGAACGCUGGCGGAGUGCCUAAUACAUGCAAGUCGAGCGGCAGCACGAGUAGUUUACUACUUGGUGGCGAGCGGCGGACGGCUGAGUAACGCGUGGGAACGUGCCCCAAAGUGAGGAAUAACUGCCCGAAAGGGUAGCUAAUGCCGCAUAUGAUCUUCGGAUUAAAGUAUUUAUUACGCUUUGGGAGCGGCCCGCGUCCGAUUAGGUUGUUGGUGAGGUAAAGGCUCACCAAGCCGACGAUCGGUAGCUGGUUUGAGAGGAUGACCAGCCAGACUGGAACUGAGACACGGUCCAGACUCCUACGGGAGCAGCAGUAAGGAAUCUUCCACAAUGGACGAAAGUCUGAUGGAGCAACUCCGCGUGCAGGAUGAAGGCCUUAGGGUUGUAAACUGCUUUUAUGAGUGAAGAAUAUGACGGUACUCAUGAAUAAGGGUCGCUAACUACGUGCCAGCAGCCGCGGUAA